UCCUCCGCCACAUCCCGCGCGCCAUGGAAACCGCGUUAGCCUCCACCCCCCUCCACUCCCCUAAAUUCAUUUGUCCCCCCUCUCCGAGGACUCGACUGAAUGGUCCCCCGCGCGACUCCGAGCUCACCAUUGAUGACUUGUGUCAGAGCUGACAAAUCGACAUGGCCCUGCAUCAAAGAUCCCACCUCAUGGGCAAUGGCUUCUAUGCCCUGCCUCACUGCUCUGUGACCACCCUAGAGCUGAUGGAAUCUCAUUCCAUCUCUGUGUACCUCGCUGGUGCCUGCCCUGCUUUCUAUUAGCUGCUCAACUUUGGAAUGCUGAAACCAGUGCGGAGAAAGGAGCCAGGGCAGAGGGAGAGAGUUUACACGUCCCCCCAAAGAAGUGGGGCACCCAUCUGUCUUUUCUCC
Molecule: long non-coding RNA, 407 nt
Organism: Nannospalax galili (Upper Galilee mountains blind mole rat)
Lineage: Eukaryota; Metazoa; Chordata; Mammalia; Rodentia; Spalacidae
Exons: 3
Source: RefSeq, a predicted model, not a curated record